GUCUACGGCCAUACCACCCUGAACGUGCCCAAUAUCGUUUGAUCUUGGAAGCUAAGCAGGGUUAGUAUUUGGAUGGGAGACCGCCUGGAAAUACCGGGUGCUGUAGGCU
This 109-nucleotide ribosomal RNA is filed under the name Monodelphis domestica (gray short-tailed opossum). The record is from RNAcentral. Lineage: Eukaryota; Metazoa; Chordata; Mammalia; Didelphimorphia; Didelphidae.